CUCCAGACUCCUACGGGAGGCAGCAGUGGGGAAUAUUGCACAAUGGGGGAAACCCUGAUGCAGCGACGCCGCGUGAGCGAUGAAGUAUUUCGGUAUGUAAAGCUCUAUCAGCAGGGAAGAAGAUGACGGUACCUGACUAAGAAGCCCCGGCUAACUACGUGCCAGCAGCCGCGGUAAUACGUAGGGGGCAAGCGUUAUCCGGAUUUACUGGGUGUAAAGGGAGCGUAGACGGCGAUGCAAGCCAGAUGUGAAAGCCCGGGGCUCAACCCCGGGACUGCAUUUGGAACUGUGUGGCUGGAGUGUCGGAGAGGCAGGCGGAAUUCCUAGUGUAGCGGUGAAAUGCGUAGAUAUUAGGAGGAACACCAGUGGCGAAGGCGGCCUGCUGGACGAUGACUGACGUUGAGGCCCGAAAGCGUGGGGAGCAAACAGGAUUAGAUACCCGCGUAGG
Molecule: ribosomal RNA, 448 nt
Filed under: uncultured bacterium
Lineage: Bacteria
Description: bacterial SSU rRNA
Rfam family: Bacterial small subunit ribosomal RNA
Source: RNAcentral